This 152-nucleotide ribosomal RNA is filed under the name uncultured bacterium. Its description in RNAcentral is "partial 16S ribosomal RNA". It matches the Rfam family "Bacterial small subunit ribosomal RNA", at positions 338 to 507 of the family's 1533-position model. The record is from RNAcentral.
CCUACGGGAGGCAGCAGUGGGGAAUCUUGGACAAUGGGGGCAACCCUGAUCUAGCCAUGCCGCGUGAGUGAUGAAGGCCUUAGGGUCGUAAAGCUCUUUCGCCUGUGAAGAUAAUGACGGUAGCAGGUAAAGAAACCCCGGCUAACUCCGUG